Lytechinus pictus (painted urchin) is the source of this 4274-nucleotide long non-coding RNA. RefSeq lists it as uncharacterized. NCBI's taxonomy places the organism in Eukaryota, Metazoa, Echinodermata, Echinoidea, Temnopleuroida, Toxopneustidae. The record is from RefSeq and is a predicted model, not a curated record. The transcript is spliced from 2 exons.
AGGUGCACAUUGUCUUUCCAGGGUGAUUCUUCAUCCAUGCAUCUUGACAAGAGUUGACAUACUUCUUGAGAGGACCGUAGACACUCCUGUCCAGCGGUUGUAACUUGUGAGACGUGUGAGGCGGAAAUGACAAAAGAACAACCCCAUUCUCCUUGGAGAGAUUAUUUACUUUCCACUGAGAGGUGUGAUGAAUGGUUGUCUAGAAGCAGAAGCACUGGGUGUUCUUUCGAAGGCUUCACUUGUUUGAUGAAAUGCGUAAUGAAGAGAACAAACUCUGUGUCCUUCAUCCAGCCAGAUGGAUUUGCAGCCCCGAUGCAUCCAAUCGGAUCAUCUCGGAUAAAAUGAUCCUUGAAGUGGACACGUGGAAAUAUCAGUGGAGGUACGACAUUUCCGGUCGCACUCACUGCCUGACAUAGGGUGACUAGUGUUCCCCGCUCACCUGACGUGACAGCACCUACUUGCUUGGUUCCUUUGGGUGAUACAACCUUACAUGGCUUUUGGACGGUAGUAAGGCCUGUCUCAUCUACAUUCCAGAUGUUGGAUGGUUCAAACUUGUACUUAUCUAAUACACUGGCCAAUUUGUCAAGAGACUGUUUCACAUUGUGUUUGUUGAAGCUAGAAACUCUAGCCAAACUUGUUGCUUGUGCACUGUACGUACCCAAAAGAUUCCCAAUUAUGUGCCAGUUGAAGAUAGCCUUGGACAUCACUUUCCUAACACAGUCCUUUAGUUGCUCAUCACAUCUGUACUGAAAGUGCAAUCCCAGAUCUUGAAUAUUCCUCUACAGGCUACUGGAGAAGUGGAAGUUACACCAUAAGGCCUGAUUUAAGGAAAUCAGAUCUUGAAUUUUCCCCUACAGGCUACUGCAGAAGUGGAAGUAGGACCCAAUGAGGCCUGGUUUAAGAAAAUCUGCUCUUAUCACUUGCAUAUUUACUGAAGGUACAACCCGAGAUCCUGAAUUUUCUGUGAAGACUACUAAGGAAAUGAAAGUAGCAUCGAUAACAAUAAGACUUAGCUGUAAUUGCUUGCAUCAGUGCUGUUCAAAGUCUUUUAGUGGUACCUGUAAGACCUGGUUUUAGAAAAUGCAGCGCUAAUCGCUUGCAUCAUUUCAGCUUCAAAGUCUGUAGAUUGCGUCUGUACUGUGCUUGUAAUCCUAGGUCCUGUAUUUUCCUGUACAGGCUACUGCAGAAUUGAAAGUGUUACGCGUUGGGCCUUGUUUCAGUAUAUUCAUACCUUUAUCGCUUGCAUCAAUGUGGCUUCAAAGUCUGUAAUUAGCACCUGAGAGGCCUACAUUCAAUUCUUUAUUUCAUUUCCAUGCAAACAUAAUAAAAAUCAUAUAUCAGAUACAAGUUUGAUACAUGUUGGUUGAGGAAAUUCAGCCCAAAUUUCGUUUUAAUCAAUGCAGCCUCAAAGUCAGUAAGGGUCUGUCUUGGAGUGAGCCUUCUGUUACUGCUAGUAUGCCAUCCUUGAGAGAUUGCAACAACACUUCAUAGUGUUCUUGUGUCUUUCCUUCCAAUAGUGCAAACUGCCAUACCUACAUUUAGGAAAUUCAGCCCUAAUUGCUUUCAUCAAUGUAGCCUCAAAGUCAGUAAGGGUCUGUCUCGGAGUGAGCCUUCUCCCUGUUACUGCUAGUAUGCCAUUCUUCAAAGAUUGCAGCAUUACUUCAUACUGUGCUUGGGUCCUUUCCUUCCAAUAGUGCCAACUGCCAUACCUACAUUUAGGAAAUUCAGCCCUGAUUGCUUUCAUCAAUGCAGUUUCAAAGUCUUUCAGGGUCUGUCUUGGAGUGAGCGUUCUCCCUGUUACUGUUAGUACGCCAUUCUUCAAAGAUUGCAGCAUCACUUCAUACUGUGCUUGGGUCCUUUCCCUCCAAAAGUGCCAGCUGCCAUACCUACGUUGGCAUCUGUUUGUCUCUGAAGGCAAUGGCCCGUAUUCUGAAGUCAGGUUUAACUUAGAUCACGGUCUAACUCUGUGCUAAAAUUAUGGGGAGCCAGAAAUCCAAAAAAAUAUGUUUAUAUUGUAUAUUUCUUAUGUUUACCAUUUCGUUUCAUUUUGCUUUCAUGACGAAGAAAAAUACUUCAGCUACUAUUCCCAGACAAUUAUGAACAAUUUGGGUGUCAAAUGUGUUAAUAAAUUAAAUGUGUAUUGUAAGGGAUUUGUGCUCCAAUUGGCUCUCCAUACUUAAACCACAACUUUAAACCAGGGUUUAAUUUAAACCUGAGUUCAGAAUACCGGCCAAUAGGUUUAUCAGCACUCAAGAACUGUUUGCUUUCUGUGAUCACACCUCUUAUCCAAAAAUCUCACUCUUUAAAUUUAUUUUGAUCCAUGCCCUCUCUCACUAGUAUCCUCCAUUUGCCUCGGUCAGCAGAAGAGGCUUCCCACUUUGAUGGGUUGCUGUCACAAGCCUUCAUAUCACAUACAUCUUUAAAGCGAAGGACAGGUGUUCCAACAGCCCCUGUUCCAGAAGCCAGUUUGCCAUACACAAUGUCUUUUGGCAUGUAGGGUCAUCUAUUCCACUCACAUGACUGCACUCUAAGACAUUGUUGCAUGAGGAGAGGGAAGAUAGCGAUCAUACCUGUUUUCUUGAGGAUGUCUUUAUUUGUUUGGGAUGCGAACCUGCCAUUCGAUUCCCAGAAUUUGCCUUAGGCAGCGUAGAAGGAAGGAGUUCAGACGGCGCUCUUGGCGUGCAUACAUGUAUAUGAAGUCCAUGACUUACCGCCAUAAAGUAGAGUACUGAGAACAUAGGCUUGGUAGAUUUUCCUUUUCGUGUUGAUGGUUGGCAGAGUGUUCUCCCAGGUACCCUUGGAGAGUCUAGCCAUCAUUGUUGAUACCUCGCUGAUGCUGUUAUUGAGCUCAAUUGAGCUCAGAAGUAUGUAUGUGUGCUUGUGUCUUUCGUUCCAUUAGUACCAACUACCAUACCCGAUGAUAACGAUUAAAUAAACACUUUGUAUAUAGCACAGACAUGCAUGUGUGCCAUUUUAAUAUACUUUUGAUAUAUAAUAAUAAAUCAAAGUAAAACACAAUUGAUUGUGCCAUUCCUAAUGAUAACAAUAAAAUAUAUUUAUAUGCAGCACAAACAUUCAUCAUUCUAUUAAAUACCGUUAUAGAGUAACAAAGUGAUGAUGUUAGCAUUUUGCAUUUCAGCAUUUUUUAUACCAUAUUUUGGGCCCCAUGGACCAAUUCUCACCAAAUUAUGGAUAUGGGGGUUUUUAAUCAUGAUCUACCAGAAUAUGGUAUGAAAAAUGCUGAAAUGCAAAAGUGAAUAUUGAUGACGUCACACUUCGGUACUCUAUCGUACGUGCUGAUUAAUCAAAGUAAACACAAGUGCUUGCAUGUUUUUGUUAAUGUGCUAGAUUGCAGAAUAUGUUGUUAUUUUAUGCUCUAUCAAUUCGUCCAUCUUUCAUUUAGGCCGAGCGACCAUUUUAUCCUGGCGACCCUUUUCUCGCAUGACUAGCAACCCUUUCCUCCUAUUAUGACUAGUGAUCCUCUUCUGUUAUGACUGGUGACCCUCUAAUAUUUUAUCAAGCGCCCAUCCUGUACUAUUAUGACGAGCGACCCUCUUCAACUAUUAUUACUAGCCACCAUCUUCUGAUGCUAGAAAAAUCAGCCAUUUUCACAACAUUUUCAACUAGCUGUCAAAACAAACGAGGAACUUAUGUUUGUUUUGCCGUAAUAAUAAAGUACUACUGGGUAGUAACGUAAAAAAAUGUACAACCUACAAAAAUAUGUCGUCCAUGGGUGAAUUAGAGGUGAAAAAUUUUCACCUUUAAUUCACCCAUAAUCAAACAUUUUCAAUUGGUAAUCAGUUUUUCACAUGACUACCCACUAUUACUUUAUCAUUGAAAAAAAAUGUUAUUGCUCAAGCAUUCAGCUAAGAGACAAAAUUGUUUUGCCGAGAUGUCCUGUACGACACGUAUGGAAUCACCCUAUUAUGGCAGGCAGCCCUUUUUAUUUUUUACUUGUAGACUGGCAACCCUCUUACUUGAUUAUGACUAGCGACCCUCGUGGAUUAUGACAAGCCACCCUUGUGAAUAGUGACCCGUUUGAAUAUAACAACUAGUGAUCCUUAUGAUUAGUGGUUUUACUGUUAUUUUCUCACAGUUUCAACCUUUCAAAAUGGAUAUUGUUAACUUUGAAAUAUGCAGCUUUAAGAUGUGAAAUGCUUUAAUUAAUACGUGAAGGAACUUUGCUUUAAUCUUGAUGAUUAAUCGUUUCUUGUGAGUGAUUCAUGAAGAAGAUGUUGAUAUUUCAAUUAAAACAGUAUAUUGCCAAGCAAUUA